This is a long non-coding RNA of Hemibagrus wyckioides, 2483 nucleotides long. RefSeq lists it as uncharacterized. The transcript has 5 exons. NCBI's taxonomy places the organism in Eukaryota, Metazoa, Chordata, Actinopteri, Siluriformes, Bagridae. The record is from RefSeq and is a predicted model, not a curated record.
CAAAGCGUCGGAUGCAGUGGUGUAAAGCACGCCGCCACUGGACUCUAGAGCAGUGGAGACGCGUUCUCUGGAGUGACGAAUCGCGCUUCUCCAUCUGGCAAUCUGAUGGACGAGUCUGGGUUUGGCAGUUGCCAGGAGAACGGUACUUGUCUGACUGCAUUGUGCCAAGUGUAAAGUUUGGUGGAGGGGGGAUUAUGGUGUGGGGUUGUUUUUCAGGAGCUGGGCUUGGCCCCUUAGUUCCAGUGAAAGGAACUCUGAAUGCUUCAGCAUACCAAGACAUUUUGGACAAUUCCAUGCUCCCAACUUUGUGGGAACAGUUUGGAGCUGGCCCCUUCCUCUUCCAACAUGACUGUGCACCAGUGACCAAAGCAAGGUCCAUAAAGACAUGGAUGACAGAGUCUGGUGUGGAUGAACUUGACUGGCCCUGACCUCAACCCGAUAGAACACCUUUGGGAUGAAUUAGAGCGGAGACUGAGAGCCAGGCCUUCUCGUCCAACAUCAGUGUGUGACCUCACAAAUGAGUUUCUGGAAGAAUGGUCAAAAAUUCCCAUAAACACACUCCUAAACCUUGUGGACAGCCUUCCCAGAAGAGUUGAAGCUGUUAUAGCUGCAAAGGGUGGACCGACGUCAUAUUGAACCCUAUGGAUUAGGAAUGGGAUGUCACUUAAGUUCAUAUGCGAGUCAAGGCAGGUGAGCGAAUACUUUUGGCAAUAUAGUGUAUAUACAAGUUUCAACAAAUGGUUAAUUUUGUAUACUAUAAAAACAAGUUAACUAUAUUCUGAACAUACACUGUUCCUAACAAAAAGAGCACAUAAAUGAAUAAAUGAAGUUCUUUUUGGGUAAGCUGUGACUCAAGCAUCCUUAGGCCUACAGAAACAAACAGACUAUAUAUCUGAAUAUUCCGUGCGAAUUAAGUCAAACAUUUAUAAAUCAUUUUGCUUGCUGACAUAGAUUUUUAUUUUAUAAAAUAAAUUCAAUAACUUACCUAAGCGGACAUCCCAGGCUGUGUUUUCCACUUCUGAUGGAUCAAGGCUUUCAUCACGUGCACAAUCUUCUAACUCAAUGUUUUUUCCACUCUUGAGUUGUCUUGGGUUGCAGCAUCUUUGAUCCAAACUCCAUUACGAAAAAACAUUUUUUUUGUGACGAUAAAAAUUGGCAUGUGAAACAAUAUUGUUUGUUGAUCACAAAACCGCCGGGCUCUCUUUCUUCUCAACAGAUCCACAGGCGACCUCAAACGCCCUUCCACGAUGACAGGCAACAUCUCCAGUAUUAUAUUUUCCCCCAGAAUAAAUACAAAUAAUUCAUUGACAGGGGUGGGCGGGGUGUCGUGGAAACCAUCGAAUGGGGAAGGUUGUUUUUGUAAAGUUUCCAAUCAAAAUAGUUCCGCGUAUUAUGUCGGUGACUUAAGCGGGUGCAACCAAUGACAUUACUGUGUCCUUUCAACCGCGCGAAAAAAAACCAACUUAAAUUGUCAGCAUUGUUUACGGAAGUUAGUCUUUGUGGAAGUACGAGAUACUGUUUGUGGUGGCGUGCAAGAGAAACCUAAGCUUUUCUACUCACGUGACUAAGGGUCAGCAAACAGCAUCAAGCGCACUGAGUAUGAAUGACUUGAUGAAGCAGAGCGCUUUGCUCGUCAGCUUGAGGGUUUGAUGGAGAAGCAAGCUGCACACACUGCUCUUCUCGAAGAGGCUAUCCAGCGUCUUCAGCGCUUCAACGCGAGUUCGACGAGCAAAGACCGCAGGAAGAAUCGAGCCAUGGGCAUAAAAGGAGUUAAGAAGGCGCAUAACGUGGGCACUGCGGUAUGCUGGCGGACAAUACAGCAGUAAAUUGUACCUCGCCAAGAAGCUGUAAGGUGCCUCCAUAAUUCGGAAAACAACCCACAUAAAUACGAUCCACAAACCGGAAUAAGUUCACCUCAUAAUCAGGCAGUGAUGAAAAAUCUGCUGGAGGAAUUAAAGACGACUUUUACAGAUACAGACCACGAGUGUAUAAAGGGGAAUCAGAAAUUGUUAUUCAUGUUGCAGGACUUACUAUGAGACAUUGCAGAGGAAAUACUCUUUGUCUCCGCCAGGAAAGUCCCAGCUAAGAGACUCCAUUAAGGCAGGGGCUAAAAGACGAUUGCUGGAGUCCAGGUAUAGGGUCGUUCAAACAGAUGCAGAGAGAGAGCUGUGGCAGACUGCAAUGCUGGAACUGAUGUCCGAUGAGGGGGAUGCCAUUGUUGAUGGAAGACCGGUGUGGGUUGUGAGGUCUCCACCGGAGCUUUGCCAGCAGCUUCACCGCAGACUGGAGGCGGAUAUGUGCUGCGCUCUUACACACCGUCAGCGUGUAAGAGCUAAUGGAACCGAGCCAGAAGGACAUUCAUUUUUGGAACUCUAACAUACUGGUGCAUGUGUUUGUUUUAGUAUUGCUUUUAAUUUAAUUGCACCUUUAUAAUUGCACAUUUGUUCAUUUUUUUCAUAUUUUCUGUUUUUUCCUUAUUCUUA